AAAGAAAAGCGUAAUGAAGAAGAAGUACAAACUCUGAAGUCUCAAGUAGGAUCUGACAAGAAGAGAAGGAAAUCUCUCAAGAAAUUAAUGG
This is a long non-coding RNA of Mauremys reevesii (Reeves's turtle), 91 nucleotides long. RefSeq lists it as uncharacterized. The transcript has 4 exons. The record is from RefSeq and is a predicted model, not a curated record. Lineage: Eukaryota; Metazoa; Chordata; Testudines; Geoemydidae.